GAUUUUUACCCUAUAAUAUUUUAGUCAUCGCAUGAUGAUUAUCUUAAAACUCCGGUGGUUAUAGAUGGGCAUGCGGCCUAUUAGUUUGUUGGUGAGGUAAUGGCUCACCAAGACUACGAUAGGUAGGGGGUCUGAGAGGAUGAUCCCCCACACUGGUACUGAGACACGGACCAGACUCCUACGGGAGGCAGCAGUAGGGAAUAUUGGACAAUGGACGAAAGUCUGAUCCAGCCAUGCCGCGUGCAGGAUGACGGCCCUAUGGGUUGUAAACUGCUUUUAUAUAGGAAGAAACCUUUUUACGUGUAGAAAGCUGACGGUACUAUAUGAAUAAGGACCGGCUAACUCCGUGC
Molecule: ribosomal RNA, 350 nt
Filed under: uncultured bacterium
Lineage: Bacteria
Description: bacterial SSU rRNA
Rfam family: Bacterial small subunit ribosomal RNA
Source: RNAcentral